AAAAGUAAAUUUCCGGGGUAUAAACCCUCUCUCAACCAUCUCAAGCAAUAGUUUACCAGCGACCACCAUAUCUUCUGAUCUUUUUCUCACAAACAUUCCACUUAUCAGUAUGUUGUAAGUAUCUAGAUUUGGCAAGCAAUCACCACUCCCCAUUUUCUCAAACAAACCCAACGCUUUCUCGACCUCGCUGCAUUCCGAAUAAUAACGGAUCAUCAUGUUAUAUGUCUGGAAGUUUGGUUCACAGCCUUCAUUCUCCAUUCUCUGCAUCAACUCCUCUCCACGACUAAACUCUCCAGCGUGAAACAACCCUCUUAUCAACACAUUAUAAGUCGUCACAUUCGGCUCAUAACCUCUCCUCACCAUUUCCUCAAACAUCACAACCGCAUUCUCCACAUUAUCUUUCUUACACAAAACUUGAAUCAUAGCAUUGUACGUCGCAACAGAAGGAAGCACACCUUCUCUAAUCAUCUCAUCGAAAACAUUCCUCGCCCGCUUUAUCUCCCCCGCAACACCAAACCCGUGAACCACAGUAGUAUAAGUGACAACAUCUAUUUCACAAUCCCGUUUCUUCAUCUCCAAGAAGAAUUCCCAAGCAUGUCUAAUCUGCCCAGCUCUGAA
Arabidopsis thaliana (thale cress) is the source of this 618-nucleotide long non-coding RNA. RefSeq annotates it as other RNA. The record is from RefSeq. Lineage: Eukaryota; Viridiplantae; Streptophyta; Magnoliopsida; Brassicales; Brassicaceae. The transcript has a single exon.